GUCCCCGUGGUGAAAUGGAUAUCAUUGCUGGCUUCGAACCAGCCGUUGGGGGUUCGAAUCCCUCCGGGGACACCA
This 75-nucleotide transfer RNA is filed under the name Candidatus Colwellbacteria bacterium CG10_big_fil_rev_8_21_14_0_10_42_22. RNAcentral describes it as "tRNA-Arg". It matches the Rfam family "tRNA". From Rfam's summary of the family: Transfer RNA (tRNA) molecules are approximately 80 nucleotides in length. Their secondary structure includes four short double-helical elements and three loops (D, anti-codon, and T loops). Lineage: Bacteria; Candidatus Colwelliibacteriota. The record is from RNAcentral.